Molecule: transfer RNA, 65 nt
Filed under: Asymmetron inferum
Lineage: Eukaryota; Metazoa; Chordata; Leptocardii; Amphioxiformes; Branchiostomatidae
Description: tRNA-His
Source: RNAcentral
GUUAACCUAGUUUAAUAAGAAUAUUAAGUUGUGGUCUUAAAGGUGAGUACUUAACUCGGUUAAUC